UUUUCAAAUGGGUUGAUGAAGCGAACUCCGAAGAGUUAUCCCUUUUGAAAGACAAGCAAGUCAGGUUGGAUCAAGAUCUGCUACAACUUAAGCAAGAGCUUCUUGACAUGAAGAAAGACAUCGGCGAGAUUCUUCAGAUUUUAGAGUGUUUCAGAUCUAAGGUAUAGAUCUGGAUAUGUUUGCAGACACCAUAAACUUGUUGUAAGCAUUGCUGCAAUCAUAGUAUUCAAAAAAUAUGGGUUAUUGCCUUCCAAAAUCUUGUAUUACACAUUCCACCGAUCUACUAUGGAGCAGGUACCGCCAAAUGGCUAAACAAUCACAUUUCAGCCAUCAGUUAUUAGCCCAAUCUAAACCACAACAUCCCCUACUACACACAAAUGCUAACCAACUUCCAUACCCAAUCUAAACCACAACAUCCCUAACCACGUUCAACCACAGCAUGACCCUAAACAACAUGGACCAAAAACGUUUGAAAGAAAUCACCUUGCAACUAAUAAAAUAAAACUGUACAGACACUGACCC
This 522-nucleotide long non-coding RNA is filed under the name Brassica napus (rape). Its description in RNAcentral is "long non-coding RNA (BNAP_LNC009453)". Lineage: Eukaryota; Viridiplantae; Streptophyta; Magnoliopsida; Brassicales; Brassicaceae. The record is from RNAcentral.